Long non-coding RNA from Pan troglodytes (chimpanzee), 325 nucleotides. RefSeq lists it as uncharacterized. The record is from RefSeq and is a predicted model, not a curated record. The transcript is spliced from 2 exons. Lineage: Eukaryota; Metazoa; Chordata; Mammalia; Primates; Hominidae.
UCCUCUGUUUGUUUCACAGCAUAAAAGACAUUGGUCCUGGUGGUAAAGAGACCUAGUGGAAGACACCAUUGCUGAUCUCCUGGGCAAAGUAGGGCAGAGCUUGCUGAGUUGUGGGAGGAAGCACUGCCCUGAGAGCCAGCGGUGUUCCAGACUCCUCCAUCCUCCUCCUCUUCCCAGCUGGGAUGGCGAGUUCCUGUGACUGGCCCGUCACUCUCCCCCCAGCCGUCUUGCAUAGAUUUGGAAUCUUUAAGGAAAGAAUGAAUUAACUCUUUGCAACAGCUAUAUAAAACAAUCAUCAGAAUAAUAAUUCCUUGCAGAUGCAGCA